GACGAACGCUGGCGGCGUGCUUAACACAUGCAAGUCGAACGGAAAGGCCCUGCUUUUGUGGGGUGCUCGAGUGGCGAACGGGUGAGUAACACGUGAGUAACCUGCCCUUGACUUUGGGAUAACUUCAGGAAACUGGGGCUAAUACCGGAUAGGAGCUCCUGCUGCAUGGUGGGGGUUGGAAAGUUUCGGCGGUUGGGGCUGGACUCGCGGCUUAUCAGCUUGUUGGUGGGGUAGUGGCUUACCAAGGCUUUGACGGGUAGCCGGCCUGAGAGGGUGACCGGCCACAUUGGGACUGAGAUACGGCCCAGACUCCUACGGGAGGCAGCAGUGGGGAAUAUUGCACAAUGGGCGGAAGCCUGAUGCAGCAACGCAGCGUGCGGGAUGACGGCCUUCGGGUUGUAAACCGCUUUCGCCUGUGACGAAGCGUGAGUGACGGUAAUGGGUAAAGAAGCACCGGCUAACUACGUG
RNAcentral lists this ribosomal RNA (468 nucleotides) under uncultured bacterium. RNAcentral describes it as "partial 16S ribosomal RNA". It matches the Rfam family "Bacterial small subunit ribosomal RNA", at positions 28 to 507 of the family's 1533-position model. The record is from RNAcentral.